UAGGGAAUCUUCGGCAAUGGGGGGAACCCUGACCGAGCAACGCCGCGUGAGUGAAGAAGGUUUUCGGAUCGUAAAGCUCUGUUGUUAAGGAAGAACGAGUGUGAGAAUGGAAAGUUCAUGCUGUGACGGUACUUAACCAGAAAGGGACGGCUAACUACGUGCCAGCAGCCGCGGUAAUACGUAGGUCCCGAGCGUUGUCCGGAUUUAUUGGGCGUAAAGCGAGCGCAGGCGGUUAGAAAAGUCUGAUGUGAAAGGCAGUGGCUCAACCAUUGUAGGAUUUGUGAGCUGUUUAACUUGUGUGCAGAAGGGGAGGGUGGAAUUCCGUGUGUAGCGGUGAAAUGCGUAGAUAUAUGGAGGAACACCGGUGGCGAAAGCGGCUCUCUGGUCUGUAACUGACGCUGAGGCUCGAAAGCGUGGGGAGCGAACAGG
RNAcentral lists this ribosomal RNA (429 nucleotides) under Bacteroidota bacterium. RNAcentral's name for it is "Bacteroidetes bacterium partial 16S ribosomal RNA". It matches the Rfam family "Bacterial small subunit ribosomal RNA", at positions 355 to 776 of the family's 1533-position model. Lineage: Bacteria; Pseudomonadati; Bacteroidota. The record is from RNAcentral.